UACGUAGGGGGCUAGCGUUGCUCGGAAUUACUGGGCGUAAAGCGCACGUAGGCGGGUCUUUAAGUCAGGGGUGAAAUCCUGGAGCUCAACUCCAGAACUGCCUUUGAUACUGAAGAUCUUGAGUUCGGGAGAGGUGAGUGGAACUGCGAGUGUAGAGGUGAAAUUCGUAGAUAUUGGGAAGAACACCGGUGGCGAAGGCGGCGCUCUGGACCGAGACUGACGCUGAGGCGCGAAAGCGUGGGGAGCAAACAGG
Molecule: ribosomal RNA, 253 nt
Filed under: uncultured bacterium
Lineage: Bacteria
Description: partial 16S ribosomal RNA
Rfam family: Bacterial small subunit ribosomal RNA
Source: RNAcentral